GGGGGAAAGAGACGAGCAUAGGUUCCUCCCAAGAUGCCACCCGCUUCAUUCAAGUGCCUGGCAACACUGUGUUCCUGUUAGAGCCACCAGCACAAGCACCAGACGAUGCUGAUCCAGGUGAAGGCCCCAGUGCAGCAGCAACAGCACAUGAUGGAGACGAUGAUGAGGAGGAGACCAUCUCUCUGGAUUCCAGAAGGCAUGAGGUAUCAUGUUAAGACUGUGAAAGUACUAUUUACUCUACAAUGGUGAGGAGUCCUCAUCAAAAUCAAAAAAUCUAAUUUCUUUUACAGGACCCAGAUGCUAUACAGUGGGAAAACCAGCCUGGCAACAUAGUGCGUAUUAAUAAAAGGACACCACAUCCUGCCAAAUUCCAGCUGCGCUAAUUGUAUUGUGUUCACAGAGCUCACAAGCUAUCAGAAAGUUGUAUGGCAACCACCUCCGGCGCCAAAUAGAACUGGCAGACAUAGACAUUCAGUACAAGAAGAAAAAGAUGGAAAAUCUUGCACUGGAGUCCGAAAUAAAAAGAGGACAAUUAGGAAACUGGACCUUGAAAUAAAAAAACUUGAGAGGGAGCUCCAAGAAGAUGACACAGCUCAAAAUAAAAAUUAGGUAUAUUCUCGUAAAGUCAAGUGAGCCAUGACAUAUGAGCUCUUAUUGUGAGCACACAGGACGGUGGCAUCUUUCUAAGGUUUUUUUUAUUUUCCCAGCAAUCAGUACAACCAAGUCAUCGUUAUAAGGCAUCGCCCUCUUUUGCCCACCCCCCCAGCACCAGGUGUGGCCACUAGCCUAUAUGAAGGCCCAAAAUUGUGUGUUCCUUUCUGCUCUGACAAUGGCAUGCCCAUUCGUGCGAGAUGUGGUGGAUGAAGAAGCACUUGUGCUGAGGAGAGCCUUCAGGCGAGAAAGGGUCUUCAGGGACCGGUUGGACCCACUGGCCUUCCCUGAUGACCAUCUAUAUGAAAGAUACCUGAUGCCAUCUGCAGAAAACCUGUAUCUAUGCAGACUACUGGGUCCCAGGAUUAAGCACCGCACUGCACGGAGCCAUGCACUGAGUGUGGAGCAAAUGGUUUGUGUGGCCUUGCGCUUUUUUGCUAGUGGAGCCUUCCUGUACUCAGUGGGGGAUGCAGAACAGCUGAACAAGGCCACAAUUUGCCGCACAAUAAGGAGUGUGUGUCUGGCUAUCAAAGCAUUAGCAGAUGUCUUCAUCUCCUUCCCUGGCCACAGAAGACUCUGUGACAUCAAAGAGGAGUUCUAUAGGAUUGCAGAUGGUCUGCAAUGCUGACUGUGUGAUCAGCAAUGUUGUGGCAAAAUGGCCUGGCUCAGUCCAUGACUCCAGAAUCUUUCGGGCCUCUGAAAUCUAUCAGUGCCUAUCACAAGGUGAAUUCUCUGGUGUGUUGCUGGGAGACAGGGGUAUGGCUGCCAGCCUUUUCUCCUGACACCUUUCACAGACCCCAGGAAGCACAGCAGGCCUACAACCAUGCCCAUGCCAGGACCAGGGCCAGAGUUGAAAUGACCUUUGGCCUCCUGAAGGCACGCUUUCACUGCCUUCACAAAUUAAGGGUCAGCCCUGUUAGGGCAUGUGAUAUUACUGUGGCUUGUGCUGUCCUCCACAAUGUGGCCUGCCUGAGGAAGGAGAGGGCCCCCAGAGUGCCACCAGCCAUGGACUGGGACAAUCCGGCAAUCUUCCCUGAUGACGACAGUGGUCGGCUGCUGAGGGACCAAUAUGUGUUGAAUUAUUUUAGUUAGUAUGUGUGCUUUCAAUUUUGGUUAAAUAUGUCCUGCGGUGGCAGAGGAAUUUGGGUUUUUUUGGGUUCGUUUUUUGACGAAUUUGGCCUCUUAUGAUGUUUGUGCGGUAUACUGUGUGUAAUACAAGGCUGCAGGGAGGCUACUGCAUCCAUUCAUUUGUCUGUUCAGUUGAUGUGUAUGGAUUUGUCCUGCAUUUAUUUUAGUGUGCAGACAUGCAGGGUGUGUUAUAUACAGACCUUUGAAUGUGUAUGUAUCAUUUUGUAUAAUAUGCUUGGAUUCUGUGCUUUCCAUCUUGUAGAGUCACUGUGACUUCAGUUUCGAAAGGAGCUGAUGGUUUACCUGCUUUGUUUUGUCCUUAUUCAAUAAAGGAACAUAAUGUUACACAUUGUGUUUUUAUAUUCA
Long non-coding RNA from Oncorhynchus nerka (sockeye salmon), 2145 nucleotides. RefSeq lists it as uncharacterized. Lineage: Eukaryota; Metazoa; Chordata; Actinopteri; Salmoniformes; Salmonidae. The transcript has 6 exons. The record is from RefSeq and is a predicted model, not a curated record.